Molecule: ribosomal RNA, 467 nt
Filed under: uncultured bacterium
Lineage: Bacteria
Description: partial 16S ribosomal RNA
Rfam family: Bacterial small subunit ribosomal RNA
Source: RNAcentral
ACGAACUCUGGCGGCGUGCUUCACACAUGCCAGUCGAACGGAAAGGCCCUGCUUUUGUGGGGUGCUCGAGUGGCGAACGGGUGAGUAACACGUGAGUAACCUGCCCUUGACUUUGGGAUAACUUCAGGAAACUGGGGCUAAUACCGGAUAGGAGCUCCUGCUGCAUGGUGGGGGUUGGAAAGUUUCGGCGGUUGGGGAUGGACUCGCGGCUUAUCAGCUUGUUGGUGGGGUAGUGGCUUACCAAGGCUUUGACGGGUAGCCGGCCUGAGAGGGUGACCGGCCACAUUGGGACUGAGAUACGGCCCAGACUCCUACGGGAGGCAGCAGUGGGGAAUAUUGCACAAUGGGCGGAAGCCUGAUGCAGCAACGCCGCGUGCGGGAUGACGGCCUUCGGGUUGUAAACCGCUUUCGCCUGUGACGAAGCGUGAGUGACGGUAAUGGGUAAAGAAGCACCGGCUAACUACGUG